RNAcentral lists this long non-coding RNA (390 nucleotides) under Oncorhynchus kisutch (coho salmon). RNAcentral describes it as "lncRNA (ENSOKIG00005044218.1)". The record is from RNAcentral. Lineage: Eukaryota; Metazoa; Chordata; Actinopteri; Salmoniformes; Salmonidae.
AUGGAGAUGAGUGGCUUCCUGGUCACAUCAGCAGCCUUGCUGUUUAUAGCUAACGGACAGAGCAACUAUGAUAUGUUGAUGGAGGUUGACAAGAAACAUGUUGACAUGGCUAUAAGAUAUGCAAAUAAGAAUAGUGAGAUUCAGAAAAAUAAUCCAAAAGAGCACCUCAAUUUUUUUAAAGUUGUUGGACAAUCUGAGAUCAAUGCUCGGGAAUUUAAAAUCAACUUGUUGUUGAAAGCAACAGACUGCCCUAAGGCCAGUAGAGAUAGUGAACAUAAACAUCGCCCUGAAUGUCACUUUAAAUCCAGAAGGGAUAAGGAUACAUUCAACUCCAUGCUCUGGUUUCGAGCAGUGCUUCAUGGCAGUAGUAAGGAUCCUCCAUGUGCGUGA